Molecule: ribosomal RNA, 497 nt
Filed under: uncultured bacterium
Lineage: Bacteria
Description: partial 16S ribosomal RNA
Rfam family: Bacterial small subunit ribosomal RNA
Source: RNAcentral
GAUGAACGCUGGCGGCGUGCCUAAUGCAUGCAAGCCGAGCGAACAGACGAGGAGCUUGCUCCUCUGACGUUAGCGGCGGACGGGUGAGUAACACGUGGAUAACCUACCUAUAAGACUGGGAUAACUUCGGGAAACCGGAGCUAAUACCGGAUAAUAUAUUGAACCGCAUGGUUCAAUAGUGAAAGACGGUUUUGCUGUCACUUAUAGAUGGAUCCGCGCCGCAUUAGCUAGUUGGUAAGGUAACGGCUUACCAAGGCAACGAUGCGUAGCCGACCUGAGAGGGUGAUCGGCCACACUGGAACUGAGACACGGUCCAGACUCCUACGGGAGGCAGCAGUAGGGAAUCUUCCGCAAUGGGCGAAAGCCUGACGGAGCAACGCCGCGUGAGUGAUGAAGGUCUUCGGAUCGUAAAACUCUGUUAUUAGGGAAGAACAAAUGUGUAAGUAACUAUGCACGUCUUGACGGUACCUAAUCAGAAAGCCACGGCUAACUACGUG